Pan troglodytes (chimpanzee) is the source of this 90-nucleotide small nucleolar RNA. The record is from RefSeq and is a predicted model, not a curated record. NCBI's taxonomy places the organism in Eukaryota, Metazoa, Chordata, Mammalia, Primates, Hominidae.
UACAUUCCAUGAUGUCCAGCACUGGGCUCUGAUCACUCUGGAGGCACAGUUUUCCCCAAGACCAUGGCUACCUGGGGAUCUGAGAGAAAA